Molecule: long non-coding RNA, 1641 nt
Organism: Monodelphis domestica (gray short-tailed opossum)
Lineage: Eukaryota; Metazoa; Chordata; Mammalia; Didelphimorphia; Didelphidae
Source: RefSeq, a predicted model, not a curated record
UAGUAGGUCCUAGGUUCAAAUAUGACCUCAGAUAUUUCCUAGUUGUGUGACUCCAAACAAUUAGUUAACCCAUAACCCUCAUUCCCUCACCCUUACUGAAUAAUCAAUAUUAUAUCCCUAGUGCCUUGAGAAGUGUCACUUAAUAAAUGUUGCUUGUUUAAUUUAAUUAACAGAAAACGAGAUCUAAAUGAUCUUUUUCUGUAUGCUCUUGGGCAGAAAUUUUGGGUUGAAAAAAUACAUGGUAGAAUCUAUAAAACAAUGAUCUCUUUCUAAAUAGUUGCUUUGUAGAACGGUAUUUUAGUAAACUUGUUCCCUUAUUUGUUGCUCUACUGGGGUUUAAAAAAAAAUCCUUGACUUUUUGUAUUUCUCAUCUUCUCUCUUCAGACACCAUCAUCUCUAAAAGGUUCCACUCAGUGUUGGGGUUGGAGGCUGAGCCGCCACAUGUCAUCCUGCCAUAAAAUACUGGGAAUGGAUUUGAUGGGAACUAAGGAACUUUUCAGUCCAGUGACACUUCAGCAAACCUUGGAGGAACCUCAAGAUCCCACGAGGUAGAAGAAUGGAGACUAUCCCUGGCAUAUAUAGCUGGUACGAAGGCACCCAGCUUCCCAACCCCAAAUUUACCUGUUUGUCCAGAGAAACCAUUGCACUUGCUUAAUACCAACAGCCAUGCAGAAGGCCAGCCAUAAAUUUCAGUCCUAUGCCUCAUCAUCAUCAUUGUCAUCAUCAUUAUCUGGGAAAUGUCUACAGUGAUUUACAUUUUGAUCCCUAAAACCACCCUAUAAGUGAUUUCCAGAGUAGAGGCCAUUUUCUGCUGUCUGGUCUAUAUGAGCCAUAAAACCAGAGGAUUUAAAGCCAGAAAUAAGCUUUGAAAACAUCUAGUCCAAUCUUCUCACUUUCCAGAAGAAGAAACUGAGGCUCACAGAGCACAGAAUGAAUCUGAAUUUAAAGUCAAAAUUCCAAGGUAUAAAUCAUAGCGGACAUUGUAGCUGAACAGGACCUGGUUGAUUUCAUUUAUUCAGGAAGUUGUAUAUGAUUAGACUUGGACUCAGGCAUCAUUUAAUGCAAUAUUUCCUAGGUCUGAGGAGAUUUGUUGGUCAAAAAGACUCAAGCAUGUGUCUACUAAACUGGAUUAAAAAAGUCAAAAUUUCAUCCCAUUUACAUACUCAGUAUCCACCUAUAUCCCAAUGGAAGGGAGUCAGGCAGACCUGAAACAAAAUCGUUUGUCCAGAAACCAAAAAUUAUUUUCAUCAUGCCUGAAGAUAUAUUCCUUUAGAUCCUAAAGGACUAUUAGGUCUGAAAACAAUUGCCAAAAAUUGUUUCCACAUGCAAAUAAAAAAAAUUAAAUUAAAUUUAAAAGGAUUAUUAAUCCUCCUUUUAAAUCCUUAUAUAUUUAUGUACUUCUCAUUUGAAAAGAAAACCAGGAGAAGACCUGAGCAUGGGGAUCUGGCCAGGAAGAGAUUAGGAAUUGAAAGCAAGCUCCUUUGUCCUCAAAAGAAAAGAUGAGAAAAUGUAGCUCCCUCCCUUCAUUGAAAAAGUGAGGGUCUAUGGUUGUGAAGCACCACAUACACUAUCAGUCUCCAUUAUUAUUUUGUUUCUUUUUGCAUAACUAUUUUAUUCCCCCUUCAUUUUUUUUGUCUCAAG